AACGCACAUUGCGCCCCUUGGUAUUCCGAGGGGCAUGCCUGUUCGAGCGUCAUUAUGACCACUCAAGCCUGGCUUGGUAUUGGGGUUCGCGGUUCCGCGGCUCUUAAAAUCAGUGGCGGCGCCAUCUGGCUCUAAGCGUAGUAAUCUUUCUCGCUACAGAGUCCCGGUGGAUGCUUGCCAGCAACCCCUUAUUUUCUUAGGUUGACCUCGGAUCAGGUAGGGAUACCCGCUGAACUUAA
This 239-nucleotide unclassified non-coding RNA is filed under the name uncultured fungus. Its description in RNAcentral is "sequence contains ITS2". The stretch from base 1 to 52 matches the Rfam family "5.8S ribosomal RNA", at positions 103 to 154 of the family's 154-position model. Lineage: Eukaryota; Fungi. The record is from RNAcentral.